This 339-nucleotide ribosomal RNA is filed under the name Triticum aestivum (bread wheat). RNAcentral describes it as "partial small subunit ribosomal RNA". Lineage: Eukaryota; Viridiplantae; Streptophyta; Magnoliopsida; Poales; Poaceae. The record is from RNAcentral.
AUGGGAGCAGCGAUAGAUGCUGACGACGACGAGGAGACAGAUGCAGAUGAAUCAGAGGAGGAGGACAAGGAUGAGGAUGACAAUGAAGAAGAUGCAGAGGAGGAGGAGGAUGAGGAGGAAGAGGAGGAGGAGGAGGAGGAGGACAAACAAGAAGAGGACAAAGUAGAGGAGGAGAACAAGGAAGAAGAUAGUGAUGCAGAGGAGGAGGAAGAAGAAGGUGAGGCCAGAGAGGGGGACGGGGACAAAGGGGCAGCAGUUGAUGGCAGUGAGAGGGGAGAAGACAAAGGCGCAGCAGCUGAUGGCAGUGAGAGGGAAGAAGACGAGGAUGAAGAAGACUAG